GAGUUUGAACCUGGCUCAGGAUGAACGCUGGCGGCGUGCCUAACACAUGCAAGUCGAACGAAGACUGUGCGGCGAAACUCUCCGGAGGGAAGAUGCGCAGGACUGAGUGGCGGACGGGUGAGUAACGCGUGGGUAACCUGCCCUGUACAGGGGGACAACAGCUGGAAACGGCUGCUAAUACCGCAUAAGCCUACAGUACCGCAUGGUACAGCAGGAAAAACUCCGGUGGUACAGGAUGGGCCCGCGUCUGAUUAGUUAGUUGGCAGGGUAACGGCCUACCAAGACAACGAUCAGUAGCCGGCUUGAGAGAGUGGACGGCCACAUUGGGACUGAGACACGGCCCAAACUCCUACGGGAGGCAGCAGUGGGGAAUAUUGCACAAUGGGGGGAACCCUGAUGCAGCAACGCCGCGUGAGUGAAGAAGUAUUUCGGUAUGUAAAGCUCUAUCAGCAGGGAAGAAAAUGACGGUACCUGACUAAGAAGCUCCGGCUAAAUACGUGCCAGCAGCCGCGGUAAUACGUAUGGAGCAAGCGUUAUCCGGAUUUACUGGGUGUAAAGGGAGCGCAGGCGGUACGGCAAGUCCGAUGUGAAAGCCCGGGGCUCAACCCCGGGACUGCAUUGGAAACUGCCGCACUAGAGUGCCGGAGAGGUAAGUGGAAUUCCUAGUGUAGCGGUGAAAUGCGUAGAUAUUAGGAGGAACACCAGUGGCGAAGGCGGCUUACUGGACGGUAACUGA
This 736-nucleotide ribosomal RNA is filed under the name uncultured bacterium. RNAcentral describes it as "bacterial SSU rRNA". It matches the Rfam family "Bacterial small subunit ribosomal RNA", at positions 9 to 743 of the family's 1533-position model. The record is from RNAcentral.